CUUAGGGAUUCAGGAUUGCUAUUUUCUCUCUUUGGCUUAGUCUUUCAGAUCUUUGCUAUGGAGGGACGGCGUGGUGCUUCUGCCUAGAGCACCAUGUUUCCCGGCAGUCUGUAUUUUAUUAUUGGUGUGACUUCACAUAAUGGUCAGUAGACAGGACUUUAGUACUGCUGUCUGGAUUUUCAGUUUAUUUUAGCAAUGACUUUUAAAAGCCUUCACUAGAGAGGGCAGUAGAGAGAUAUAUCGGUGAACUCUCUUUAUAAAAUACAUGGUCUGGAAGUGAAGCUAAUUGGAUUUAUGUGAUCCUUGUUAUGUAGUUCUCAUUUACUUUAUGAAGUAAGACCUAUGCAAAUACAGGGUAAUAGACAUAAUAAAUAUCAGAUAAAGCAAGUGAGGUUCAGGCUUUUUUUGUAAGAAGUUGAGCAACAGAAGCCUGCUGGCAUAGAUAAAUAUUCUGAGAGUAGUUCUUGCAGUGUUAAAGAGAAAGCAAAUGUGGUUUUCCAAUUUGAAAUGUGGAUUUAUUGUUAUAAAACAGAUGUUUGUACUUUUAGCAGUAGAGGUUGAAGAAAAGGUUUAAUAACUCACAGAAGAUGUAAUUAUGUAAAAGUUUUAACAAUAUAAGAAUAAGUUAUCUUUGUAUUCUUAAAUGGGAGGAUAGAAUGUGACUUAGCAAAUUUAAGUACUUGUAAAUUUAAUGAGCAUAUUUGUGAUUCUGCUUAUUUUUAUUAAUUUGUUUUUAUUUAUAGUCAUAAAUUUUUGACAAUUUAAUUUCACUUUUAAUCAGUUCUAAUGGUAAAUGAGAAUAGAAUGAGGUGAUUAAAUAUGUAUUAAUGGUUCAUGUCUACGAAUUGUUCAUUAUAUUCAUCUUAUAUAGAGAGAUGAAGGAAUUUAAUUCUGACCAUGAAAAGCACACACGUCUUAGAAGCCCUCUUUCAUGUAUAAUUAUUUUUACAUAAAGACUGACAAAAUUUGGUGGUUGGAAAGUGGAAUCUGGAAUUUUAGUUUUUUAUAUGAUUGUAUUUCAAAGAUUUCAUUAUGGAAAUACUGCACUGAAGAAAAACUCGUAUUUAAAUGUGUUCUCAUGGUAAAAAGUCUGGAAUGUUGAAGGUUGUAUUGAGGAUUAUGUAUUUUUUGUUAUUUUAUAGUUCAUAUGCUAUAUGAUUUAUCAGUUCAUGAUAUUAGAACAUUAUUUGGCUUUUGUUCUCUUUAUGAAUGUGUGUAACUGUGUAACAAUAUCAUUUGUAGCAUGUGUGUCAUAAAUCCUAUCCUUGUCUUUCCAUCAUCUCCUUUCUUACUUGGCCAAACAUUAGUUUAUGACGUACUAUGACAGAAACUUUGUCCAUUUGUCCUUUUUCUUAUCAUAACUCUUCUUCCCUAUUCACUGCCUCCCUGUUUCCUGGUUUCCUCUCACUGCACUCUUUCUUCCCUUUCCUUUAAUUUCCCAAAUACUUCUGUUUUCAGAUAUGAAGACUAGAGGAUACAAAGGACUGCUGUAGGAUAUAUUGUUUCAACCAUACAAUGUUAAAAACAUAAAUUUACAGAUUCAAGAAACUCACUGAAUUCCAAGCCAUAUAAAUACAGGAAGAAUCAAACUUAGGGACACCAUAGUCAAGCUGCUAAAAACCAAAGACGAAGAAAAAAUCUUGAAAGCACCCAGAGAAAUGAUAACAAAUUAUUGCUGGUGAGUUAUCAGAGACAAUACAGGCCAGCAGGCAAUAGAACAACAUCUUUAAAGUGCUGGAAAAACAAAAGUCAACCCAGAAUUUGAUAACCAGUGAAAAUAUCCUUCAAGUAUCAAGCCAAAGUAAAGACAUUUUCAGAUAAAUAAAAAAUGCCGUUGCAGAUUACAAGAAAUGCUAAAGGUAAUUUUUAUGCUGAACGGACAUGAUACCAGAUGGAAAUUCAGAUCUUCAGGAUGGAAUGAAGAGCCCUGCAUUGGUAAAUACACAGAUAAAUUUACAACUGCUAAAUAUAAGUCUCUCCCCUAAUUAAAAAAAAUGACAAAGUAAAAAUUAUAACAUUAUAAUAUAACAUUUAUUGCAUAUGUAGGUAUAAUACGAUACUUGUAUAAAGGAUGGGAAUAGGUAGAUGGAACUGUUUACUUUUACUAGGUUCUUAUGUGAAGUGGUAGAAUAUUAACUGUAAGUCCACUGUGAAAAGUUAAAGAUGUAUAUUGUAAUUCCUAAUGCAAACACUUAAAAAAAAAA
Trichechus manatus latirostris (Florida manatee) is the source of this 2204-nucleotide long non-coding RNA. RefSeq lists it as uncharacterized. NCBI's taxonomy places the organism in Eukaryota, Metazoa, Chordata, Mammalia, Sirenia, Trichechidae. The record is from RefSeq and is a predicted model, not a curated record. The transcript has 2 exons.